CAGUCCUCCGUGGGGUGGAAAGGUGUCCCGAAAGAGCCAUUGAUGGAAAUGAUGCUAGCAUAUAUGGAAAGGGAUCCUGUACACACACAUCACUACAAACCAAACCCUGGUGGAGACUGGACCUCCUAAAGAUAUAUAAAAUCAACACUGUCACCAUCACCAACAGAAAAGACUGUUGCCAUGAAAGGAUAAAUGGUUGCUGAGAUCCACGUUGGAAAUUCCCUCAAUGACAAUGGCAACGCCAAUCCCAGAUGUGCUGUUAUCUCAUCUAUCGCAGCUGGGAGCUCAACAACAUUUGUUUGCAAUGGAAUGGAAGGCCAGUAUGUAAACAUUGUGAUUCCUGGAGGAAAAAAAUACCUGACACUGUGUGAGGUGGAAGUCACUGGUCAACCUUCUGGAAACACUGCUCCAGCUGCUAAUAUUGCUAAAGGUGGAAAAGUGACUCAGUCCUCCGUGGGGUGGAAAGGUGUCCCCGAAAGAGCCAUUGAUGGAAAUGAUGCUAGCAUAUAUGGAAAGGGAUCCUGUACACACACAUCACUACAAACCAAACCCUGGUGGAGACUGGACCUCCUAAAGAUAUAUAAAAUCAACACUGUCACCAUCACCAACAGAAAAGACUGUUGCCAUGAAAGGAUAAAUGGUGCUGAGAUCCACGUUGGAAAUUCCCUCAAUGACAAUGGCAACGCCAAUCCCAGAUGUGCUGUUAUCUCAUCUAUCGCAGCUGGGAGCUCAACAACAUUUGUUUGCAAUGGAAUGGAAGGCCAGUAUGUAAACAUUGUGAUUCCUGGAGGAAAAAAAUACCUGACACUGUGUGAGGUGGAAGUCACUGGUCAACCUUCUGGAACCACUGCUCCAACUGCUAAUAUUGCUAAAGGUGGAAAAGUGACUCAGUCCUCCGUGGGGUGGAAAGGUGUCCCCGAAAGAGCCAUUGAUGGAAAUGAUGCUAGCAUAUAUGGAAAGGGAUCCUGUACACACACAUCACUACAAACCAAACCCUGGUGGAGACUGGACCUCCUAAAGAUAUAUAAAAUCAACACUGUCACCAUCACCAACAGAAAAGACUGUUGCCAUGAAAGGAUAAAUGGUGCUGAGAUCCACGUUGGAAAUUCCCUCAAUGACAAUGGCAAUGCCAAUCCCAGAUGUGCUGUUAUCUCAUCUAUCACAGCUGGGAGCUCAACAACAUUUGUUUGCAAUGGAAUGGAAGGCCAGUAUGUAAACAUUGUGAUUCCUGGAGGAAAAAAAUACCUGACACUGUGUGAGGUGGAAGUCACUGGUCAACCUUCUGGAACCACUGCUCCAACUGCUAAUAUUGCUAAAGGUGGAAAAGUGACUCAGUCCUCCGUGGGGUGGAAAGGUGUCCCCGAAAGAGCCAUUGAUGGAAAUGAUGCUAGCAUAUAUGGAAAGGGAUCCUGUACACACACAUCACUACAAACCAAACCCUGGUGGAGACUGGACCUCCUAAAGAUAUAUAAAAUCAACACUGUCACCAUCACCAACAGAAAAGACUGUUGCCAUGAAAGGAUAAAUGGUGCUGAGAUCCACGUUGGAAAUUCCCUCAAUGACAAUGGCAACUGCCAAUCCCAGAUGUGCUGUUAUCUCAUCUAUCGCAGCUGGGAGCUCAACAACAUUUGUUUGCAAUGGAAUGGAAGGCCAGUAUGUAAACAUUGUGAUUCCUGGAGGAAAAAGAUACCUGACACUGUGUGAGGUGGAAGUCACUGGUCAACCUUCUGGAAACACUGCUCCAGCUGCUAAUAUUGCUAAAGGUGGAAAAGUGACUCAGUCCUCCGUGGGGUGGAAAGGUGUCCCCGAAAGAGCCAUUGAUGGAAAUGAUGCAAGCAUAUAUGGAAAGGGAUCCUGUACACACACAUCACUACAAACCAAACCCUGGUGGAGACUGGACCUCCUAAAGAUAUAUAAAAUCAACACUGUCACCAUCACCAACAGAAAAGACUGUUGCCAUGAAAGGAUCAAUGGUGCUGAGAUCCACGUUGGAAAUUCCCUCAAUGACAAUGGCAACGCCAAUCCCAGAUGUGCUGUUAUCUCAUCUAUCGCAGCUGGGAGCCUCAACAACAUUUGUUUGCAAUGGAAUGGAAGGCCAGUAUGUAAACAUUGUGAUUCCUGGAGGAAAAAAAUACCUGACACUGUGUGAGGUGGAAGUCACCGGGACAGAAUCAGAUGCAGAUGAUCCCAUUGAAUAUGCUUGCGACUGAAUCUGAAAUAUUUCUUCAUGCUCAUGUCCACUUAAUUUUAAAGCUAAUCAAACAUAUUUCUGCUUAUUUUCCUUCACUACAACAUUUAAAGGUAUGCUAAAUUAAUAUUAAUAUUGUUUAUCUAAUUUUAGGUGACCUUAAUGAUAAACAUCACACACACUCACAUACUAAAGUUAUUCACAAAAAAAUAAUUGUGUAUCUGUUAGGCAAAGGAUUUAUCUAGAUAUAGACUAGCCUAGAUGAAGGUACGGAAAAACACCGUGACUAAUGGACAUAGUGGUUUUUAAUUGUAAUCUAUACAAUGUUUUAAAAACAAACUAAGAAAAAAACAAAUGUGUUCCCCUUAACUCAACAAUUAGAAUGUGCAAUCUUUAAAAUAAAAUGUAAGUGAAAUGUAACCCCUGGGUGACUGAUAAUUAAAUGGUGGUUACUGGUGAUGGUGUUCGUUAUAUUUAACAUGUUAAGCUCCAUACAUAUUGUGUAAAUGGUGAUGGUUUCAGCUUGUGGUCAUGUUUGUUUCCAAGAGAAAAGCCCUUAAGAAAGCUCUAAAGUCUACCUGGUCUAAGAAUCUGGUAUUGUGUGGUUUCUAUUUUUUCAUUGGCUUGUGUCAUAGGUUUGAUUCACUGUGUACUCCAAUUGCAAAACAAAAAAAUAAACGUUUCUUUUGAACUCCA
Trematomus bernacchii (emerald rockcod) is the source of this 2884-nucleotide RNA transcript. RefSeq lists it as uncharacterized. Lineage: Eukaryota; Metazoa; Chordata; Actinopteri; Perciformes; Nototheniidae. The transcript is spliced from 10 exons. The record is from RefSeq and is a predicted model, not a curated record.